GACAGAGGGUGCAAACGUUGUUCGGAAUUACUGGGCGUAAAGCGCGUGUAGGCGGUCCGGUAAGUCCGCUGUGAAAGUCGGGGGCUCAACCCUCGGAUGCCGGUGGAUACUGUCGGGCUAGAGUGCGGGAGAGGCGAGUGGAAUUCCUGGUGUAGCGGUGAAAUGCGCAGAUAUCAGGAGGAACACCGAUUGCGAAGGCAGCUCGCUGGAACGUUACUGACGCUGAGACGCGAAAGCGUGGGGAGCAAACAGG
This 253-nucleotide ribosomal RNA is filed under the name uncultured bacterium. RNAcentral's name for it is "partial 16S ribosomal RNA". It matches the Rfam family "Bacterial small subunit ribosomal RNA", at positions 524 to 776 of the family's 1533-position model. The record is from RNAcentral.